RNAcentral lists this ribosomal RNA (616 nucleotides) under uncultured Legionella sp. Its description in RNAcentral is "bacterial SSU rRNA". It matches the Rfam family "Bacterial small subunit ribosomal RNA", at positions 242 to 849 of the family's 1533-position model. The record is from RNAcentral. Lineage: Bacteria; Pseudomonadati; Pseudomonadota; Gammaproteobacteria; Legionellales; Legionellaceae.
UAGCUAGUUGGUGGGGUAAGGGCCUACCAAGGCGACGAUCGGUAGCUGGUCUGAGAGGAUGACCAGCCACACUGGAACUGAGACACGGUCCAGACUCCUACGGGAGGCAGCAGUGGGGAAUAUUGGACAAUGGGGGCAACCCUGAUCCAGCAAUGCCGCGUGUGUGAAGAAUGCCUGAGGGUUGUAAAGCACUUUCAGUGGGGAGGAGGGUUGAUAGGUUAAGAGCUAAUUAACUGGACGUUACCCACAGAAGAAGCACCGGCUAACUCCGUGCCAGCAGCCGCGGUAAUACGGAGGGUGCGAGCGUUAAUCGGAAUUACUGGGCGUAAAGGGUGCGUAGGUGGUUGAUUAAGUUAUCUGUGAAAUUCCUGGGCUUAACCUGGGACGGUCAGAUAAUACUGGUUGACUCGAGUAUGGGAGAGGGUAGUGGAAUUUCCGGUGUAGCGGUGAAAUGCGUAGAGAUCGGAAGGAACACCAGUGGCGAAGGCGGCUACCUGGCCUAAUACUGACACUGAGGCACGAAAGCGUGGGGAGCAAACAGGAUUAGAUACCCUGGUAGUCCACGCUGUAAACGAUGUCAACUAGCUGUUGGUUAUAUGAAAAUAAUUAGUGGCGC